RNAcentral lists this unclassified non-coding RNA (253 nucleotides) under uncultured Alphaproteobacteria bacterium. Its description in RNAcentral is "contains 16S-23S intergenic spacer region". It matches the Rfam family "Bacterial small subunit ribosomal RNA", at positions 524 to 776 of the family's 1533-position model. The record is from RNAcentral. Lineage: Bacteria; Pseudomonadati; Pseudomonadota; Alphaproteobacteria.
UACGAAUGGGGCAAGCGUUGUUCGGAAUCACUGGGCUUAAAGCGUACGUAGGCGGAAUUGAAAGUCAGAAGUGAAAGCCCAGGGCUCAACCCUGGAACUGCUUUUGAAACUCCAAUUCUCGAGUCCCGGAGAGGUUAGCAGAAUUCCGAGUGUAGAGGUGAAAUUCGCAGAUAUUCGGAGGAAUACCAGUGGCGAAGGCGGCUAACUGGACGGGUACUGACGCUGAGGUACGAAAGCGUGGGGAGCAAACAGG